GGGUUGUGAGGUUAAGCGACUAAGCGUACACGGUGGAUGCCCUGGCAGUCAGAGGCGAUGAAGGACGUGCUAAUCUGCGAAAAGCGUCGGUAAGGUGAUAUGAACCGUUAUAGCCGGCGAUGUCCGAAUGGGGAAACCCAGUGCAAUUCGUUGCACUAUCGUUUGAUGAAUACAUAGUCAAACGAGGCGAACCGGGGGAACUGAAACAUCUAAGUACCCCGAGGAAAAGAAAUCAACCGAGAUUCCCCCAGUAGCGGCGAGCGAACGGGGAGCAGCCCGGAGUCUGAAUCAGCUUGUGUGUUAGUGGAAGCGUCUGGAAAGUCGCAGGGUACAGGGUGAUACUCCCGUACACUAAAACGCACAGGCUGUGAACUCGAAGAGUAGGGCGGGACACGUGGUAUCCUGUCUGAAUAUGGGGGGACCAUCCUCCAAGGCUAAAUACUCCUGACUGACCGAUAGUGAACCAGUACCGUGAGGGAAAGGCGAAAAGAACCCCGGCGAGGGGAGUGAAAAAGAACCUGAAACCGUGUACGUACAAGCAGUAGGAGCCUCUUUAUGGGGUGACUGCGUACCUUUUGUAUAAUGGGUCAGCGACUUAUAUUCUGUAGCAAGGUUAACCGUAUAGGGGAGCCGCAGGGAAACCGAGUCUUAACUGGGCGUUAAGUUGCAGGGUAUAGACCCGAAACCCGGUGAUCUAGCCAUGGGCAGGUUGAAGGUUGGGUAACACUAACUGGAGGACCGAACCGACUAAUGUUGAAAAAUUAGCGGAUGACUUGUGGCUGGGGGUGAAAGGCCAAUCAAACCGGGAGAUAGCUGGUUCUCCCCGAAAGCUAUUUAGGUAGCGCCUCGUGAAUUCAUCUUCGGGGGUAGAGCACUGUUUCGGCUAGGGGGUCAUCCCGACUUACCAACCCGAUGCAAACUACGAAUACCGAAGAAUGUUAUCACGGGAGACACACGGCGGGUGCUAACGUCCGUCGUGAAGAGGGAAACAACCCAGACCGCCAGCUAAGGUCCCAAAGUCAUGGUUAAGUGGGAAACGAUGUGGGAAGGCCCAGACAGCCAGGAUGUUGGCUUAGAAGCAGCCAUCAUUUAAAGAAAGCGUAAUAGCUCACUGGUCGAGUCGGCCUGCGCGGAAGAUGUAACGGGGCUAAACCAUGCACCGAAGCUGCGGCAGCGACACUAUGUGUUGUUGGGUAGGGGAGCGUUCUGUAAGCCGUUGAAGGUGGCCUGUGAGGGUUGCUGGAGGUAUCAGAAGUGCGAAUGCUGACAUAAGUAACGAUAAUGCGGGUGAAAAACCCGCACGCCGGAAGACCAAGGGUUCCUGUCCAACGUUAAUCGGGGCAGGGUGAGUCGACCCCUAAGGCGAGGCCGAAAGGCGUAGUCGAUGGGAAACAGGUUAAUAUUCCUGUACUCGGUGUUACUGCGAAGGGGGGACGGAGAAGGCUAUGUUGGCCGGGCGACGGUUGUCCCGGUUUAAGCAUGUAGGCGGAUGUUCCAGGUAAAUCCGGAACGUUAUUAACGCUGAGGUGUGAUGACGAGGCACUACGGUGCUGAAGUGACAAAUGCCCUGCUUCCAGGAAAAGCCUCUAAGCAUCAGGUAACAUCAAAUCGUACCCCAAACCGACACAGGUGGUCAGGUAGAGAAUACCAAGGCGCUUGAGAGAACUCGGGUGAAGGAACUAGGCAAAAUGGUGCCGUAACUUCGGGAGAAGGCACGCUGAUAUGUAGGUGAAGUGGUUUACCCAUGGAGCUGAAAUCAGUCGAAGAUACCAGCUGGCUGCAACUGUUUAUUAAAAACACAGCACUGUGCAAACACGAAAGUGGACGUAUACGGUGUGACGCCUGCCCGGUGCCGGAAGGUUAAUUGAUGGGGUUAUCCGUAAGGAGAAGCUCUUGAUCGAAGCCCCGGUAAACGGCGGCCGUAACUAUAACGGUCCUAAGGUAGCGAAAUUCCUUGUCGGGUAAGUUCCGACCUGCACGAAUGGCGUAAUGAUGGCCAGGCUGUCUCCACCCGAGACUCAGUGAAAUUGAACUCGCUGUGAAGAUGCAGUGUACCCGCGGCAAGACGGAAAGACCCCGUGAACCUUUACUAUAGCUUGACACUGAACACUGGUCCUUGAUGUGUAGGAUAGGUGGGAGGCUUUGAAGUGUGGACGCCAGUCUGC
RNAcentral lists this ribosomal RNA (2165 nucleotides) under Klebsiella grimontii. Its description in RNAcentral is "partial 23S ribosomal RNA". It matches the Rfam family "Bacterial large subunit ribosomal RNA", at positions 1 to 2179 of the family's 2925-position model. The record is from RNAcentral. Lineage: Bacteria; Pseudomonadati; Pseudomonadota; Gammaproteobacteria; Enterobacterales; Enterobacteriaceae.